AGAGUUUGAUUCUGGCUCAGGAUGAACGCUGGCGGCGUGCUUAACACAUGCAAGUCGAACGAAGCACAGAAAGCAGAUUACUUCGGUUUGAAGCUUUCUGUGACUGAGUGGCGGACGGGUGAGUAACGCGUGGAUAACCUGCCUCACACAGGGGGAUAACAGUUAGAAAUGACUGCUAAUACCGCAUAAGCGCACAGUCUCGCAUGGGACAGUGUGAAAAACUGAGGUGGUGUGAGAUGGAUCCGCGUCUGAUUAGGCAGUUGGCGGGGUAACGGCCCACCAAACCGACGAUCAGUAGCCGGCCUGAGAGGGUGAACGGCCACAUUGGGACUGAGACACGGCCCAAACUCCUACGGGAGGCAGCAGUGGGGAAUAUUGCACAAUGGGGGAAACCCUGAUGCAGCGACGCCGCGUGAAGGAAGAAGUAUUUCGGUAUGUAAACUUCUAUCAGCAGGGAAGAAAGUGACGGUACCUGACUAAGAAGCCCCGGCUAACUACGUGCCAGCAGCCGCGGUAAUACGU
This 522-nucleotide ribosomal RNA is filed under the name uncultured bacterium. RNAcentral's name for it is "bacterial SSU rRNA". It matches the Rfam family "Bacterial small subunit ribosomal RNA", at positions 8 to 528 of the family's 1533-position model. The record is from RNAcentral.